This 403-nucleotide ribosomal RNA is filed under the name Verrucomicrobiota bacterium. RNAcentral describes it as "Verrucomicrobia bacterium partial 16S ribosomal RNA". It matches the Rfam family "Bacterial small subunit ribosomal RNA", at positions 355 to 776 of the family's 1533-position model. Lineage: Bacteria; Pseudomonadati; Verrucomicrobiota. The record is from RNAcentral.
UGGGGAAUAUUGCACAAUGGGGGAAACCCUGAUGCAGCGACGCCGCGUGAGCGAAGAAGGCUUUCGAGUCGUAAAGCUCUGUCCUAUGAGAAGAUAAUGACGGUAUCAUAGGAGGAAGCCCUGGCUAAAUACGUGCCAGCAGCCGCGGUAAUACGUAUGGGGCGUGCGUUGUCCGGAAUUAUUGGGCGUAAAGGGUACGUAGGCGGUUUUUUAAGUCAGGUGUCAAAGCGUGGAGCUUAACUCCAUUAAGCACUUGAAACUGAAAGACUUGAGUGAAGGAGAGGAAAGUGGAAUUCCUAGUGUAGCGGUGAAAUGCGUAGAUAUUAGGAGGAAUACCGGUGGCGAAGGCGACUUUCUGGACUUUUACUGACGCUCAGGUACGAAAGCGUGGGGAGCAAACAGG